AGUACAGGAAUGAUUGGGGGAGGAAGGGAGGAAUUCAAUUACCGAAGUAAUUUAUUUAGUCUAUUCCCAUAUCACCAUAGGAUCAUCGUAUGCACACCUGUGCUUAUCUACCUCCUCAGAGCAAAGAUGUGCUAGUAGGGAGGAAACAAGGCAUUUCCAAGUAGCCUGCAUUUGUAAGGAGGAGAGGAUCUUAUUUUCACCGCAGAUCUCCAUUUCACCAAGGAACAGUGGUUUAACUGCCGUGUUCAGGACAACGGAUUUUUACCUUGUCAACUUGGGGAUUUGAUUUUGCAACCUUUCGGUUACUAGUCCAACGUUCUAACCACUAGGCUACCCGCCACCCCCAAAGUACAGCCUUAUGUAAACAGGUCCACAGUGUCAUCAAUUGUGCAAACAUUCCGUAGGGAAAACAGGACUGCACAAAGACCUCAUGCUGGUGGCAGAGUAGCAGUAUUCAGCCAUCGGCAAGAACGAGAAAUUUGCAACAUGGUCAUAGCCAACAAUUCCAUCAGGCUAAGAGGGAUCCGAAGUGCAAUCACAAAUGACGACGAUAUCUUCGCAAAUAUCAAUUCUGUCAGCAUUUCCACUAUAGACAGAGUUUUGGAAAAAAAUGACUAUGAAACAACUCUACAAGGUACCAUUUGAGAGGAAUCGUGACAGAGUGAAGGAGCUGCGGUGCCAGUAUGUCCAGAAAAUAAUGGAGCUGGAAGGACAUAAAAUUACCCACAUUCUUGUUUUUGUGGACGAGGCUGGGUUCAAUCUGGCCCAAGGCAGGAGAUGUGGCCGCAAUCUCAUUGGACACCGAGCCACAAUUGGCACACCAGGCCAACGUGGGGAGCAAUAUUACAAUGUGUGCUGCCAUUUCUGAGAAUGGUGUGAGCGCACAUAUUCCACACAUUGGGCCCUAUAACACCCAUCUUCUCAUGGUCUUCCUAAAUACACUUUACAGAGACCUAAUAACAGAACACCAUAGAGGUUUAGUUAGUGCAAAUUUGCCAAAUUAUGUAAUUGUGUGGGAUGUCAGCUUCCACCGAAACAACAAUGUAGGGAAUGGUUUGCUGCGCAUGAAAGGAUAACCAUAGAGUUCCUUCCACCAUCCUCCCCAUUCCUGAAACCGAUAGAAGAGUUUUGUUCAGUGGAAAGUAUAUGCAGGGGAUAGUUUCCGCCAGACAAGGAGAUUUCCCCCCCCGGUGCAUCGCAAGGGAAAACAUCAGAUGUGAUGUUGAUGAAAAUCCUUGGCCUGACCAACAAGAGCGACAGCAUGUCCACCAAGAAGAUGGGAACUUCUUGUGUUACGUACUGUGAGGAGGUACAAUUGAUUGUUUUUUACAGAACUACCACAGGUUUCUUCUUUGUUGCAUUUUUAUUUAUUUUUUGCAUGGAUGUCAUUUUGUGGCAAAUUUUCUGUUCACUAUGUAUGAUUUUACAUGUAAGAAAUAUGUAAAAAUGGACAUGCAAAUGUGAAUUUUCUGUUUACAUGUAACACAUUGCUACAAAAAUGUAUUUACUGUAUACAUACAAAUGUGCAUAUCCUUUUUCUGUGUACUACGGUAUUGACUUUUCCCAGUAAACUUUUACCUACUGUUUUAA
This is a long non-coding RNA of Salvelinus namaycush (lake trout), 1590 nucleotides long. RefSeq lists it as uncharacterized. NCBI's taxonomy places the organism in Eukaryota, Metazoa, Chordata, Actinopteri, Salmoniformes, Salmonidae. The record is from RefSeq and is a predicted model, not a curated record. The transcript has 4 exons.